UUUUUUUUUUUUUUUUUUUUUUUUUUGAGAGAUAAAUAGCACGCUAUCCGCUUCGUUUAUUUCAUUAAGAAAUAAACUUAGCUGAAAAUGUGAAUCAACUAGAAUUCGAACUAGGGACCUCGGAUACCAACCACCAAACCCUUUACCACUUGCUUUAGGGACGGUCGGUCCCAAUACAUUGUUAAAUUGUUGGCAUAUACAUGUGAAAGGAUUAAGAUUUAAGAUUUAGGGUGUGAUGCUGAUACUCUAUUUUUUUACUGGUAAACUUUAGUUUGUUCGCUUAUGAUUUAGCACAUUCUUACUUUACAAUUCGGUUGUUCAAAAUAUUACAUUUAACUAUUUAAUAUUUUGUUUUUGAUUCUUUAUAAGGUUUUAUUGUUAAACAUAAUAGUAAAGUUAUACUUUUGUUGUCCGCGGAAUGGUAUACUACCACAUUUUACCAUUCUACGAUAUGUAUUUUUACCACCCUAUGGUUUGCGAAAUAGCUCAGUUUACUAUUCUAUUUAACAGUAGAUACUUAGGAUGAACUUAAAAAAAAAAACUUUAUUUGUUAAGUACAAUUUCUUGAAUCGCGCGAAAAAAGCACUAAAUCACAAGGGGCCAAAUUGAAAUUUAGUUUUUUUUUUUGUUUAAUUAGGAUUCUAUUUGAAAUUGCCAAAAGAAUACUUUACAAAUAGUAAAAAAAUUGAUAAAAAUAUUUUAUUUAUGUUCAUAAAAUAUAUUAUGUUAUGUAAGUCACUUUGUUUUGAAUAGGGAUGUCAACGGGUCAGAUUCGAGACGAAUUUUUAAAAAUCUGAACCCGACUCGAAACCUGAAAUCCGAACCCGUACCCGAACCCAAACCCGAAAAUCCGAAUCCGAAAUAAUUAUUUUUUUUUUCAAUAUUUCAAAAUAUAUUAUAUUAAAUCUAAAAUUUUAAAAUACAAAUUAAAAUAUAACAUCAAAUUUUUAAUUUUUUUCGGAUACAGUCAAAAUCUAUAUCCGUAUCCAUAUCCGUCGGACUUUAUUUUUGAUAUUCAUAUCCGAAACUAUAUCCAUUUAGCAUAAAAGAAAUUCACUGUAUUCAAAUUCGGAGUCAAAUAAAAUUUUGGAUAUCCGU
Molecule: long non-coding RNA, 1098 nt
Filed under: Ananas comosus (pineapple)
Lineage: Eukaryota; Viridiplantae; Streptophyta; Magnoliopsida; Poales; Bromeliaceae
Description: long non-coding RNA (ACOM_LNC035330)
Source: RNAcentral